Molecule: non-coding RNA, 25 nt
Filed under: Oryctolagus cuniculus (rabbit)
Lineage: Eukaryota; Metazoa; Chordata; Mammalia; Lagomorpha; Leporidae
Also listed under: 2 other names
Source: RNAcentral
GUGCUCGCUUCGGCAGCACAUAUAC